RNAcentral lists this long non-coding RNA (1464 nucleotides) under Carica papaya (papaya). Its description in RNAcentral is "long non-coding RNA (CPAP_LNC013823)". The record is from RNAcentral. Lineage: Eukaryota; Viridiplantae; Streptophyta; Magnoliopsida; Brassicales; Caricaceae.
UGAAACAUUCUACUUUAUUAUGUUCCACUUGAUUUUGUAUUACUUGAAUCUAAUUGAAUUUACUUUAUUUCGUCGUGUGAUAUUUUAAGAUAUUUUAAUUCCAUUGUAUUUGUUUUAGCUAUUCGAUGAUUAUCUCUCUAUGAUGCACACCAAAUUACAGAUUACGUAUUCUGGCAUUAAUAUUUUUUCUUUUUAUGCAUACGUUGCAUCUCAAUAAUUAAAAAUGAAAGAUGGUAUGGGCUUGUUUGGAAAUAUGUAUGAUGCAGAGCAGGUUUGUUGAUGAAAAUAAAAUCGAGCAAUGAGGUGAAUAAAACCAUCAUUGGAUAUCAGGAGGGGGAGUAAAUAGACUGAUUCCUAUCGUGGACAUUAACCUUAGUCGUAUGGGGUUGGGAGAUUGUAAAUGGUACCCAUACCGAAUGGGGUAUGGGAACGGCCGAUAAAAGCGGUAUUCAUAUCGGACACGGUAUGGAGUAGCCAGUUCAAGUGAUGCCCAUUAUCGGACGAGGUAUGGGACGGUCAAUAUUUGUGAAAGAAAUGUAAGUAUCCACGAGUAAGAGGAAUUCCUAUAGGCCCAUCGAUACCGGUAGACGAAAAUAAUACUAAAAGAUGUGUAAGGGAAUGGUAAACAAUUAAUUACAUUUUAUUAUAUUCCUGAAUAUAUCUAAAUGUUUGUGCAUGAAAGUUGUCUAAUAAGGAGGUAAGUAAUAAACUGUUUUCCAUAAAAAGGAAGAGUGCGACCACACCAGUAUGGUUUUUAAUACAAAGUGAGUGCUCCAUCAGUUGUUUUAUAGUUUUCUACAAUCUUUUGGUUACUGUGUUGGCGGUGAGGUUUUUAGCAUUCUAAUUAAGCUAGUAUUGCUCACCCCCUUCUUAUUACCAUUUUAAAUAAGGACAUUUAAGAUCCAGAUCCAGAUUAAGAACAGUGAGAGAAUAGAUUAGGACAUCAUCCCUAUCCACCCCGUCAUAUUCGAAUUGAGGUUACUCAUUAUUGUAGUAGUUAUCUUUGUUUUAAGUUCUAAACAUUUCACUAGCCCCUAUUUUGGGUAGGUUUAAGUAAACAUGCAAGAAAUGUAAUAUUCAAACCUUUAAUUCUCUUGCGCAAUGAUAAUUUCAGAAUUACUAAAUUAUUAUAAUCGGACUAAAUGCCCAAAAUCCCUAGAAUGAGGUUUGGGUCUUUACAUAAUGUAUUUGAUAAAGGUCUUCCACUCCUUAGAGGAGAAGAUUUUGGGGACAUCAUUGACUCGUUGAUGGAUUCUAUUGUAUAAGUUUUUCUGCGAUUGUGUCCUUGUUUAUAAUAUUUCUUCUCUUUUUUUUUUUUUGUUCCAAUAAAAUAUGAUCACUUUCUUUUUUUUCUGAAAGAGAGUAGACAACACAUAGUAAGGGGCCUUCCUUGCAUAGAUGAGAAGGUUACUUCCAGCGGAUCUAGUAAGGCAGCCUUUUCCGAAAUGUACAACUUAGCUUCCA